AAGCCUAACACAUGCAAGUCGAACGGUACAGGAAGCAGCUUGCUGCUUUGCUGACGAGUGGCGGACGGGUGAGUAAUGUCUGGGAAACUGCCUGAUGGAGGGGGAUAACUACUGGAAACGGUAGCUAAUACCGCAUAACGUCGCAAGACCAAAGAGGGGGACCUUCGGGCCUCUUGCCAUCGGAUGUGCCCAGAUGGGAUUAGCUAGUAGGUGGGGUAACGGCUCACCUAGGCGACGAUCCCUAGCUGGUCUGAGAGGAUGACCAGCCACACUGGAACUGAGACACGGUCCAGACUCCUACGGGAGGCAGCAGUGGGGAAUAUUGCACAAUGGGCGCAAGCCUGAUGCAGCCAUGCCGCGUGUAUGAAGAAGGCCUUCGGGUUGUAAAGUACUUUCAGCGGGGAGGAAGGUGUUGAGGUUAAUAACCUCAGCAAUUGACGUUACCCGCAGAAGAAGCACCGGCUAACUCCGUGCCAGCAGCCGCGGUAAUACGGAGGGUGCAAGC
This 505-nucleotide ribosomal RNA is filed under the name uncultured bacterium. RNAcentral describes it as "bacterial SSU rRNA". It matches the Rfam family "Bacterial small subunit ribosomal RNA", at positions 44 to 539 of the family's 1533-position model. The record is from RNAcentral.